GUCAAUGAUGGGCUAGGUAAGGAGAUCGAAAGAUCUGGCCGUUGCACCGUAGACGGUUAUUGCAGACCUUGCCUAGUUCAUCACCAGU
RNAcentral lists this non-coding RNA (88 nucleotides) under Glaesserella parasuis. The record is from RNAcentral. Lineage: Bacteria; Pseudomonadati; Pseudomonadota; Gammaproteobacteria; Pasteurellales; Pasteurellaceae.